This 616-nucleotide ribosomal RNA is filed under the name uncultured bacterium. RNAcentral's name for it is "bacterial SSU rRNA". It matches the Rfam family "Bacterial small subunit ribosomal RNA", at positions 28 to 637 of the family's 1533-position model. The record is from RNAcentral.
AUUGAACGCUGGCGGCGUGCCUAACACAUGCAAGUCGAGCGGUAACAGGUGUAGCAAUACAUGCUGACGAGCGGCGAACGGGUGAGUAAUGCUUUGGAAUCUUCCCAGUAGUGGGGAAUAACCAGUCGAAAGAUUGGCUAAUACCGCAUACGUCUGUAAAGGGAAAGCGGGGGCUCGUAAGACCUCGCGCUAUUGGAUGAGCCAAAGUCGGAUUAGCUAGUUGGUGGGGUAAUGGCCUACCAAGGCGACAAUCCGUAGCUGGUCUGAGAGGACGACCAGCCACACCGGAACUGAGACACGGUCCGGACUCCUACGGGAGGCAGCAGUGGGGAAUAUUGGACAAUGGGGGAAACCCUGAUCCAGCGACGCCGCGUGUGUGAAGAAGGCCUGCGGGUUGUAAAGCACUUUUAGUGGGGACAAAAAGCUACGGAUUAAUACUCUGUGGUCUUGAUUUAACCCAAAGAAAAAGCACCGGCUAACUCUGUGCCAGCAGCCGCGGUAAUACAGAGGGUGCGAGCGUUAAUCGGAAUUACUGGGCGUAAAGCGCGCGUAGACGGUUUUGUAAGUCAGAUGUGAAAUCCCUGGGCUCAACCUGGGAACUGCAUUUGAUACUGCA